GACGAACGCUGGCGGCGUGCCUAAUACAUGCAAGUAGGACGCAGUUGCGAACGGGUGAGUAACGCGUAGGUAACUACCUAUUAGUGGGGGAUAACUACUGGAAACGAUAGCUAAUACCGCAUACUAGUAGAUGGACCUGCGUUGUAUUAGCUAGUAGGUAGGGUAAUGGCCUACCUAGGCAACGAUACAUAGCCGACAUGAGAGGGUGAACGGCAACACUGGGACUGAGACACGGCCCAGACGCCUACGGGAGGCAGCAGUAAGGAAUAAUCGGCAAUGGGGGGAACCAUGAACGAGCAACGCCGCGUGAGUGAAGAAGGUAUUCGGAGCGUAAAGCUAUGUUGUUAAGGAAGCGGUACUUAACCAGAAAGGGACGGCUAACUACGUGCCAGCAGCCGCGGUAAUUG
This 407-nucleotide ribosomal RNA is filed under the name uncultured bacterium. Its description in RNAcentral is "partial 16S ribosomal RNA". It matches the Rfam family "Bacterial small subunit ribosomal RNA", at positions 28 to 527 of the family's 1533-position model. The record is from RNAcentral.